RNAcentral lists this ribosomal RNA (257 nucleotides) under uncultured bacterium. Its description in RNAcentral is "partial small subunit ribosomal RNA". It matches the Rfam family "Bacterial small subunit ribosomal RNA", at positions 26 to 286 of the family's 1533-position model. The record is from RNAcentral.
AGGACGAACGCUGGCGGCGUGCUUAACACAUGCAAGUCGAGCGGAAAGGCCCUUCCGGGGUACUCGAGCGGCGAACGGGUGAGUAACACGUGGGCAACCUGCCCUUAGCUCUGGGAUAGCUCCGGGAAACCGGAAUUAAUACCGGAGUAUGACCUAGGCCGACAUCGGCCGUGGUGGAAAGUUUUUCGGCUAGGGAUGGACUCGCGGCCUAUCAGCUAGUUGGUGGGGUAAUGGCCUACCAAGGCGACGACGGGUAG